Salmo salar (Atlantic salmon) is the source of this 72-nucleotide non-coding RNA. Lineage: Eukaryota; Metazoa; Chordata; Actinopteri; Salmoniformes; Salmonidae. The record is from Rfam.
UCCCAUGUGGCUCAGUUGGUAGAGCAUGGUGUUUGCAACACCAGGGUUGUGGGUUCAAUUCCCACGGGGGAC